UUUGCAGAGUCCCACAUCGCUAAGACCUGAAAGAAUGAUUGAGGAAGCAGAGUAUAACUGAAGAUGUGGACAGUCUGUGAAAAUUACUUACCUGGACGGGGUCAACUUGUGAUCAAUAAGACGAGUGGCCUAGGCUAGUGACCUCCAUUGCACAUAACGGAGGGGUGCUUAGCUUAAGGUCUCCCCAAGUGGGAGAGCCUGCGUCAUUAUUUGUGGCAGAGGGGGCCUGCGUUCGCGCGGUCCCUACCAUUCUUUUUACAUGAAACCUUUGUUAAAUAAAGCUGUAAAAGAAUGAGGUUCUAACCGAGGCGCGUCUAUUGCUGGUUGAAAACUAUUUCCAAACCCCCUCCUAGGCCUAAGCUUGUCUUGGGCCUUCGAGAAUUUCUGGAAGGGCUCCCUUUGGGGUAAAGCCCUACAAUUUUCAGUUCAAUUUUUAGUUGUGGCAUUGUGUCUCUCUUUCUCGAAGGGCUCAGUGAAUUUGUGGAAGACACUCUUUUGCAUUGGAGACGGUGCAGCCGGUUUGAUCGCAUCGA
Arabidopsis thaliana (thale cress) is the source of this 533-nucleotide long non-coding RNA. RefSeq annotates it as other RNA. Lineage: Eukaryota; Viridiplantae; Streptophyta; Magnoliopsida; Brassicales; Brassicaceae. The record is from RefSeq. The transcript has 2 exons.